This 427-nucleotide ribosomal RNA is filed under the name uncultured bacterium. RNAcentral describes it as "partial 16S ribosomal RNA". It matches the Rfam family "Bacterial small subunit ribosomal RNA", at positions 355 to 774 of the family's 1533-position model. The record is from RNAcentral.
UGGGGAAUAUUGCAAAAUGGGCGCAAGCCUGAUGCAGCCAUGCCGCGUGUAUGAAGAAGGCCUUCGGGUUGUAAAGUACUUUCAGCGGGGAGGAAGGCGAUAAGGUUAAUAACCUUGUCGAUUGACGUUACCCGCAGAAGAAGCACCGGCUAACUCCGUGCCAGCAGCCGCGGUAAUACGGAGGGUGCAAGCGUUAAUCGGAAUUACUGGGCGUAAAGCGCACGCAGGCGGUCUGUCAAGUCGGAUGUGAAAUCCCCGGGCUCAACCUGGGAACUGCAUUCGAAACUGGCAGGCUAGAGUCUUGUAGAGGGGGGUAGAAUUCCAGGUGUAGCGGUGAAAUGCGUAGAGAUCUGGAGGAAUACCGGUGGCGAAGGCGGCCCCCUGGACAAAGACUGACGCUCAGGUGCGAAAGCGUGGGGAGCAAACA